CCUACGGGAGGCAGCAGUGGGGAAUAUUGCACAAUGGGGGAAACCCUGAUGCAGCGACGCCGCGUGAAGGAAGAAGUAUCUCGGUAUGUAAACUUCUAUCAGCAGGGAAGAAAAUGACGGCACCUGACUAAGAAGCCCCGGCUAACUACGUGCCAGCAGCCGCGGUAAUACGUCGGGGGCAAGCGUUAUCCGGAUUUACUGGGUGUAAAGGGAGUGUAGGUGGUGCAGCAAGUCAGAAGUGAAAGCCCGGGGCUCAACCCCGGGACUGCUUUUGAAACUGUUGAACUAGAUUGCAGGAGAGGUAGGUGGAAUUCCUAGUGUAGCGGUGAAAUGCGUAGAUAUUAGGAGGAACACCAAUGGCGAAGGCAGCUUACUAAACUGUAAAUGACACUGAGGCUCGAAAGCGUGGGGAGCAAACAGGAUUAGAUACCCCGGUAGUC
RNAcentral lists this ribosomal RNA (440 nucleotides) under uncultured bacterium. RNAcentral describes it as "partial 16S ribosomal RNA". It matches the Rfam family "Bacterial small subunit ribosomal RNA", at positions 338 to 795 of the family's 1533-position model. The record is from RNAcentral.